RNAcentral lists this ribosomal RNA (331 nucleotides) under Exophiala lecanii-corni. RNAcentral describes it as "eukaryotic LSU rRNA". It matches the Rfam family "Eukaryotic large subunit ribosomal RNA", at positions 302 to 647 of the family's 3401-position model. The record is from RNAcentral. Lineage: Eukaryota; Fungi; Ascomycota; Eurotiomycetes; Chaetothyriales; Herpotrichiellaceae.
AAUUUCAUCUAAAGCUAAAUAUUGGCCAGAGACCGAUAGCGCACAAGUAGAGUGAUCGAAAGAUGAAAAGCACUUUGAAAAGAGAGUUAAACAGUAUGUGAAAUUGUUGAAAGGGAAGCGCUUACAACCAGACUUGAGCGCGACGGUUCCCCCUUCCUUUUGGUUGGGCUACUCCGUCGUGUCCAGGCCAACAUCGGUUUUGGGGGUCGGUUAAAGGCGCCGGGAAUGUAUCUACCCUUCGGGCGUAGACUUAUAGCCCGGCGUGUCAUGCGACCUCCCGGGACCGAGGAACGCGCUUCGGCUCGGAUGUUGGCGUAAUGGUUGUCAGCGA